This is a long non-coding RNA of Oncorhynchus keta (chum salmon), 555 nucleotides long. RefSeq lists it as uncharacterized. The transcript has 3 exons. The record is from RefSeq and is a predicted model, not a curated record. NCBI's taxonomy places the organism in Eukaryota, Metazoa, Chordata, Actinopteri, Salmoniformes, Salmonidae.
CUCUUGUCCAGGUGGGUGAGGGCAGUGUGGAUUCAGAUUGCAUCCUCUGUGGAUCUGUUAGGUUCCCCUCUUGUCCAGGUGGGUGAGGGCAGUGUGGAUUCAGAUUGCAUCCUCUGUGGAUCUGUUAGGUUCCCCUCUUGUCCAGGUGGGUGAGGGCAGUGUGGAUUCAGAUUGCAUCCUCUGUGGAUCUGUUAGGUUCCCCUCUUGUCCAGGUGGGUGAGGGCAGUGUGGAUUCAGAUUGCAUCCUCUGUGGAUCUGUUAGGUUCCCCUCUUGUCCAGGUGGGUGAGGGCAGUGUGGAUUCAGAUUGCAUCCUCUGUGGAUCUGUUAGGUUCCCCUCUUGUCCAGGUGGGUGAGGGCAGUGUGGAUUCAGAUUGCAUCCUCUGUGGAUCUGUUAGGUUCCCCUCUUGUCCAGGUGGGUGAGGGCAGUGUGGAUUCAGAUUGCAUCCUCUGUGGAUCUGUUAGGUUCCCCUCUUGUCCAGGUGGGUGUGGAUUCAGAUUGCAUCCUCUGUGGAUCUGUUGAGGCGGUAUCAGAAUUGAAGUGGGUCUGGGUGUCU